Small nucleolar RNA from Tupaia belangeri (northern tree shrew), 130 nucleotides. NCBI's taxonomy places the organism in Eukaryota, Metazoa, Chordata, Mammalia, Scandentia, Tupaiidae. The record is from Ensembl.
CUCUCCUACAAAGGCGUGUCUGUGGCUCCCUGUCUUUGGACACGUAAGAAUUGGAGGCAAAGAAACGUGGAUUGAGGAAUCUGGAGCCUUCUUGCUCCUUGCAGGACUCAAGAUCCACCAUCCCAUAUAG